CAUGAUCGGGCGACAAUGAAGGAGGGCAUUGGAUCGCACGGGAGAAGGAGGAAGGAAUUUGCGGAGGAAUUGUUGUCUCGUCUCACGGUGCAGGACAAAGAGGAGGAUGAUUUCAUCUAGGAGGAGGAGCUGCCGGACAUGGUGGAGCCGGCAAAGUGGCUAGCGAUUGCACACAUUCACACUGCCAAAAUCUUCAGCCCUAAUGUGUUGUACGGAAACAUGAGGGCGGUCUCGAAUCCGGCAAAACAGGUAGUCUAGAGGAGAAUCAAAGAAAAUCUAUUCGCGGCUAAAUUUGGGUGCCUCGUGAAUGGACCAAGGCGAUGCUCGAGGGGCCAUUACGAUGAAGUGUGUUGGUCGUAUUUUACAUAGCGUUGCAUGGUUUUGAGGUUUUAAAUACGAGGGACGCGGAUGUGAAAGCCAAUAUACGAGACGUGUCCUAUGAGUGCCCGCAAACGUGUCUCCGUACGUCCCCGAGUAUUUGAAGGUUUGAAUUUGCUAUGUCUGGUCGUUGUAGAUGCUGUAAGGCCAGUUUUUUGUGUGUCUAGGAUAGUCCUAUCAAGAUGUUGGUUGCCAUUUUUUUUUUUUUGAGGUUUUGCCGUUUUGCUAAAGAAACCUUCAUGGCUUCAUCCAAACAAAGGCCAAUGUUUUGGUCAUGACGAAACUAUUGACAAUGUAAUACCAUCCAAACAGCCCCUGAUUCGUGGUGCUAUGCUUACUUUACUCCUAGCUAGUCUUGUCAGAGAACUGAGAUAAUGUGCGGUGUUGCGUCUGUGUUGGUGAACCAUCUACUUGUUCUUCUGUCGUCUAGGCGAAGUUACAGUGUUGCCAGGUUUUUGCCCCGCAGCGUUCCGAUUGCCGGCAUGAGCACCAGGUUUCCUGGCAAACGGAGUGGAGCUCGAUCGGCUAGAUCAGCUGGCUGCUCUCGCACAUGACGCUCCACGAGUCCAGCGUCGGGUAGCACGGCAGCUGCAGCUGCUGCUGGUGGCGAUUGAGCGCCGCCGCGUCGGCGUCCGACGGCAGCCGCAGCGCNNNNNNN
Molecule: long non-coding RNA, 1036 nt
Filed under: Hordeum vulgare
Lineage: Eukaryota; Viridiplantae; Streptophyta; Magnoliopsida; Poales; Poaceae
Description: long non-coding RNA (HVUL_LNC002820)
Source: RNAcentral